RNAcentral lists this unclassified non-coding RNA (286 nucleotides) under uncultured fungus. RNAcentral's name for it is "sequence contains ITS1, 5.8S rRNA gene". The stretch from base 238 to 286 matches the Rfam family "5.8S ribosomal RNA", at positions 1 to 49 of the family's 154-position model. Lineage: Eukaryota; Fungi. The record is from RNAcentral.
UUUCCGUAGGUGAACCUGCGGAAGGAUCAUUACCGAAAGAUCAGAGGCGCUCUUUUUAGAGGUCUCGUCCCACAUCUUUCAAACACCUGUGCACUUGGAGUUGACCCGAUUUUCGGGUCCUUGCUCGAGACUCCGCGUUCCCCCUUUUUUUAGGGACUGCGUGAGAGUGUCGGGGACUCUGCCCCUUUUACACGCCAUCUGAGGAAUUGAGGAUGUUUACAAAUUCGAAAAUGAAACAACUUUCAACAACGGAUCUCUUGGCUCUCGCAUCGAUGAAGAACGCAGC